ACCGCCAUACUGUAUACAUGUGCCGCAUGUUCGACGUCGUGUAUAAUUUUUAUUCGUUCGAUAUAAUUUAAAAAUGUACGCAAUAUCAAAUUUGAAAUACAUCCUACAUUAUAUUCGCGAAUGUUUAAAAUAUAUAUGUUUUAUUUGUGAAUGUUUUAAGUACGUUUAUUUGCGCAGUGACAUAUAGCAGUUUCGCGCGUUUUUUUGCAAUUGUUUGUAGUCUAUGUUUGUAGUACACGUUUAUUUACGAAUAUUUAGCCCACACAUUUCUACGUAAAUUAUUCGUAUAUAAUUCGUUUAUUAUAUAUAUAAUCAUUUUAUUUGUGAAUGUUUCAUCAUUGAACAAUCAGUCAAGUAGACGACACAAUUUUCUAUAAAGUUCUUCAAGGAAAAAAAAAUUCAAUGUUGCCAUAAAGACAUGAAAAAUAAUAAAGUUUGAUUUUUUGAAGUUUUGAUUUGAAAUACGGAACUAUGUAAUGUUAGCCAAUCAGGAUUCAGUCUCAAAAUGAAUCAGUGCGCAUCAUUAUGCGCAUGGCGUCAGUCUACAAUUGAAAAUUAUAAUGACAGGUCUUGUUUCGUCAAUUACAUGAAAUUUUUAUCGUGUUGUGGUUAUUAAACUUAUUAUCAGACUUCUUUUCUCAAUAUAUGUUUGUUUAAUGAUUAUUAUACCAGAAUUGAACAUUUUUAUAAUAGAUUAUUGUUUGAUUUGAAGAUAGGAUGAAUAUUAGAAGAUUUUAAAGAUGGAAUACCUAAAAGGAUAAUAUUUUUUGUACAUACUAUGCAGUUAAGAGAUAAUCCGACAACUUUUAUGCAAAUGUGGAAAGUGAUAUCUUACUCGACAUGUUUUGAUGUAUCGAAAUUGCUACACGAGAUGCCAUUUUGCUAUCAAAAAAAUAAGUUCGCUUCAGAUAAAUAGUUUGACUGAUAGAAUUUACUUUAGGCAGGAAAAGGACUUUCAAUAUGGACAUCAUAAUUAUUUUAUAUUUUAUGAAAAAAGAGGUAAAAUUUAAAUUUCUAUAUCGAGGAAAAAUGUAAGUAUUUACUUUUUAUUUUAGUAACUUAUUAAUUACGUAUUAUGUAUAUAAUAUAUAAUUAUUAUAUUAAUUAUUGAAAAUAUUAAGAUAGAAAUAAAAAAGAUUUAAAAAAAAAUUUCAAAUAUGUCUAAUAUACACAACGUGAACAGAAUAUCAUUAAUUUUAAUAAUGAAUAUUCACAAUUUUAUUUUUUUUAAAUAGCAAUACUUUUUUAAUUAAACAAAUGCUCGAUAAGGAAAUAUAAACAUAUUUUGUUUCUUUUUUUAUUUUCCUUUCAUUCAAUUAAUAUAAUUUCAUUCCAGAUUAUUGUGACUACGCGCAAUGUGGUCGAUAGAAUCACUGUUUGUUUGUUUGUUUGUAAUAAUAUUAUCUGUUUUUUAAAGCACAAUAACUCUAAGUAAAUUUAAUUAAAAUAAUCAUUCGCGAAAUUAGAAUCAGUGUUUGUUUUCGCUGAUUACUCAAUAUAAAUGGAUGUGCUAAUAGUUUCUUAUUUUUAUUUUUUUAUUUUUAAUAAUUGUAUGGAAUAGACUCAGUGUUUAUCUCAAGAAAAUAAAGAGAUCAUCCAUCACGCGAAGAGAUAAUUGUCUUUUUUUCUAUAUAUUUCCAAAUCUUCAUGAUGAUUCAUGAUUUCUUCAUGAUGUAUGAACUACAAUGGCAAUGCAUAUUCUUCGCAUCUAAAGUGAGUCGUAUAUUUUGGUAUAUAUUUUGAUUCUUCCGAUCAUUCAAUCAUGUCGUAGGAUGAAAGGUCCAAAUCGAUUGAUUGGUUGUAUAUAUAGAAUUUUGCACGAGCACAGUGACCACUUUGUUUUAUUUAUUAGAUCAGGAUAGGUUUUCUUGCAUAUCAUGUUUUUUUAGGAAAAUGAUAUUGAAUAUGAUAUAAUUUAAUGAUAUAAAUAUAAGUAUAUUUUCUAUUUUCUUGUACAAAAAUGUAUUAAAUUUUAUAUGCAAAAAAACAUUUCGCGACAGGUAGAUUUCUGAAUCAGAGCAAUAAGUUUUGAACUGGUUUUGAAUUGGUUUUACAUUUAUAAAAUAUAAAUGCUUUGAUGAUGAAAUCGCCUUCAUUAUUUUAUUUAGAAUUUUUUUUUUAU
Molecule: long non-coding RNA, 2122 nt
Organism: Apis cerana (Asiatic honeybee)
Lineage: Eukaryota; Metazoa; Arthropoda; Insecta; Hymenoptera; Apidae
Source: RefSeq, a predicted model, not a curated record